CCUACGGGGGGCAGCAGUGGGGAAUAUUGCGCAAUGGGCGAAAGCCUGACGCAGCGACGCCGCGUGAGGGAUGAAGGUCUUCGGAUCGUAAACCUCUGUCAGCAGGGAAGAACGGUCACUGUGCUAAUCAGCAGUGAAUUGACGGUACCUGCAAAGGAAGCACCGGCUAACUCCGUGCCAGCAGCCGCGGUAAUACGGAGGGUGCGAGCGUUAAUCGGAAUUACUGGGCGUAAAGCGCUCGUAGGCGGUAUGUCAAGUCAAGGGUGAAAUCCCCGCGCUCAACGUGGGAACUGCCUUUGAAACUGGCAAACUGGAGUGUGUGAGAGGAUAGUGGAAUUCCAGGUGUAGGAGUGAAAUGCGUAGAUAUCUGGAGGAACAUCAGUGGCGAAGGCGACUAUCUGGCACAUAACUGACGCUGAGGAGCGAAAGCGUGGGUAGCAAACAGGAUUAGAUACCCCAGUAGUU
RNAcentral lists this ribosomal RNA (465 nucleotides) under uncultured bacterium. Its description in RNAcentral is "partial 16S ribosomal RNA". It matches the Rfam family "Bacterial small subunit ribosomal RNA", at positions 338 to 795 of the family's 1533-position model. The record is from RNAcentral.